This 101-nucleotide small nuclear RNA is filed under the name Rhodnius prolixus. The record is from RNAcentral. Lineage: Eukaryota; Metazoa; Arthropoda; Insecta; Hemiptera; Reduviidae.
UACUUCUUCGGUGAUACUCAAAUAUUUAAAUUGGGACGACACAGAGUAGAUUAGCAUUACCUCCGUGCAAUGAUGUCACGCAAAAAUCGUUUCACAUUUUU